GGGCCUGUCGUUCAACGGUUAGGACGAUACUCUUAUAAAGUAUAGACGGAAGUUCGACUCUUCCCGGGCCCA
RNAcentral lists this transfer RNA (72 nucleotides) under Patescibacteria group bacterium. Its description in RNAcentral is "tRNA-Ile". It matches the Rfam family "tRNA". From Rfam's summary of the family: Transfer RNA (tRNA) molecules are approximately 80 nucleotides in length. Their secondary structure includes four short double-helical elements and three loops (D, anti-codon, and T loops). Further hydrogen bonds mediate the characteristic L-shaped molecular structure. tRNAs have two regions of fundamental functional importance: the anti-codon, which is responsible for specific mRNA codon recognition, and the 3' end, to which the tRNAs corresponding amino acid is attached (by aminoacyl-tRNA synthetases). tRNAs cope with the degeneracy of the genetic code in two manners: having more than one tRNA (with a specific anti-codon) for a particular amino acid; and 'wobble' base-pairing, i.e. permitting non-standard base-pairing at the 3rd anti-codon position. The record is from RNAcentral.